UGUGCAGGGUACCAGGUAAUUGAGGUAAUAAUGAGGCUAUAAGGAGAACCAGUACUGAGUCAAUGUGCAGGGUACCAGGUAGUUGAGGUAAUAAUGAGACUAUAAGGAAUACCAGUACUGAGUCAAUGUGCAGGGUACCAGGUAGUUGAGGUAAUAAUGAGACUAUAAGGAAUACCAGUACUGAGUCAAUGUACAGGGUACCAGGUAGUUAAGGUAAUAAUGAGACUAUAAGGAGUACCAGUACUGAGUCAAUGUGCAGGGUACCAGGUAGUUGAGGUAAUAAUGAGACUAUAAGGAGUACCAGUACUGACUCAAUGUCCAGGGUACGAGGUAGUUGAGGUAAUAAUGAGACUAUAAGGAGUACCAGUACUGAGUCAAUGUGCAGGGUACCAGGUAGUUGAGGUAAUACUGAGACUAUAAGGAGUACCAGUACUGAGUCAAUGUGCAGGGUACCAGGUAGUUGAGGUAAUAAUGAGACUAUAAGGAGAACCAGUACUGAGUCAAUGUGCAGGGUACCAGGUAGUUGAGGUAAUACUGAAACUAUAAGGAGUACCAGUACUGAGUCAAUGUGCAGGGUACCAGGUAGUUGAGGUAAUAAUGAGGCUAUUAGGAGAAAUAGUACUGAGUCAAUGUGCAGGGGUACCAGGUAGUUGAGGUAAUAAUGAGACUAUAAGGAGAACCAGUACUGAGUCAAUGUGCAGGGUACCAGGUAGUUGAGGUAAUAAUGAGACUAUAAGGAGUACCAGUACUGAGUCAAUGUGCAGGGUACCAGGUAGUUGAGGUAAUAAUGAGACUAUAAGGAGUACCAGUACUGAGUCAAUGUGCAGGGUACCAGGUAGUUGAGGUAAUAAUGAGACUAUAAGGAGAACCAGUACUGAGUCAAUGUGCAGGGUACCAGGUAGUUGAGGUAAUAAUGAGACUAUAAGGAGUACCAGUACUGAGUCAAUGUGCAGGGUACCAGGUAGUUGAGGUAAUAAUGAGACUAUAAGGAGAACCAGUACUGAGUCAAUGUGCAGGGUACCAGGUAGUUGAGGUAAUAUCCACAUGUAGGUAGGGGUAUAAGUGACUAGGCAACCAGAAUAGAGAUUA
This is a long non-coding RNA of Oncorhynchus keta (chum salmon), 1089 nucleotides long. RefSeq lists it as uncharacterized. NCBI's taxonomy places the organism in Eukaryota, Metazoa, Chordata, Actinopteri, Salmoniformes, Salmonidae. The record is from RefSeq and is a predicted model, not a curated record. The transcript is spliced from 4 exons.